This is a non-coding RNA of Salvelinus fontinalis (brook trout), 716 nucleotides long. Lineage: Eukaryota; Metazoa; Chordata; Actinopteri; Salmoniformes; Salmonidae. The record is from the annotation of a RefSeq genome assembly.
CAUGACAACAGAACAACAACCAUGACUUUUAUCGUGAGCUUUUUGUGGAUAUUGAUAUUCUUAAUUCAGAAAUCCAGAGGACAGAUCACUGUGACUCAGACUCCUACAAUGAAAACUGUUCUCCCAGAACAGACAGUUAUUAUAAACUGUAAAACCAGUACAAAUGUAGCAGAUGGUUGUCCUGGGGAUUACACCUGUAUGGCCUGGUACCAACAGAAACCUGGAGGAACUCCUAAACUCCUGAUGCACUCUUCAAACAGACUUCAGUCUGAGAUUCCAUCUAGAUUCAGUGGAAGUGGAUCUCAUAGUGACUUCACUCUGACCAUCAGUGGAGUCCAGGCUGAAGAUGCAGGAGAUUACUACUGUCAGAGUUUCCACUAUCCCAACAGUGUCAGCGUGUUCACACAGUGAUACAGAGCCAUACAAAAACCUCCCUCAGUCAGACUGCACAGUGACUGUACUGCUACAGCUGGGACCUACUGCAGGUGCUGAGGGGGAAGAGACAGUGACAUGGAACACUGACUGAACUAAAAUACACUGAGCUAAAUAUAUCAGUGAUGGUGACUAUAAUGUUAAUUUAUCCACCUUCAUGUGAAAUCAUUCCUGAACUGACAACACCCAUAGGUCCAGACUACAUAAAUAUGCCUUCCCUUUUGCUGUGGCUAACAAACCUUUUAUUUAACAUUUCAGACAAUAAGUUGAAUGGACUCUAUCUA